AUUGAACGCUGGCGGCAUGCUUUACACAUGCAAGUCGAACGGUAACAGGCCGCAAGGUGCUGACGAGUGGCGAACGGGUGAGUAAUGCAUCGGAACGUGCCCAGUCGUGGGGGAUAACUACUCGAAAGAGUAGCUAAUACCGCAUACGAUCUAUGGAUGAAAGCGGGGGACCGUAAGGCCUCGCGCGAUUGGAGCGGCCGAUGUCAGAUUAGGUAGUUGGUGGGGUAAAGGCUCACCAAGCCAACGAUCUGUAGCUGGUCUGAGAGGACGACCAGCCACACUGGGACUGAGACACGGCCCAGACUCCUACGGGAGGCAGCAGUGGGGAAUUUUGGACAAUGGGCGCAAGCCUGAUCCAGCAAUGCCGCGUGCAGGAAGAAGGCCUUCGGGUUGUAAACUGCUUCUGUACGGAACGAAACGGCUCUGGUUAAUACCCGGGGCUAAUGACGGUACCGUAAGAAUAAGCACCGGCUAACUACGUG
Molecule: ribosomal RNA, 482 nt
Filed under: uncultured bacterium
Lineage: Bacteria
Description: partial 16S ribosomal RNA
Rfam family: Bacterial small subunit ribosomal RNA
Source: RNAcentral